Protopterus annectens (West African lungfish) is the source of this 102-nucleotide small nuclear RNA. The record is from RefSeq and is a predicted model, not a curated record. Lineage: Eukaryota; Metazoa; Chordata; Ceratodontiformes; Protopteridae.
UUACUUUAACAGCAUAUAAACUAAAUUGGAAUUAUACAGAGAAUAUUACAAUGGACCCUGCUCAAGGAUGACACACAAAUUCAUGAAGAGUUCCACUUUGAG